Hirundo rustica (Barn swallow) is the source of this 2414-nucleotide long non-coding RNA. RefSeq lists it as uncharacterized. The transcript has 3 exons. The record is from RefSeq and is a predicted model, not a curated record. Lineage: Eukaryota; Metazoa; Chordata; Aves; Passeriformes; Hirundinidae.
GGCUGUGUGUGAGGAGGGAGGAGUAGGAGGUUGUGUGAGGGUUAGAUAGGGUUAGGUGGCUGUGCUGGGGACAGAAAGGAGCCAAAAGGAACUGCAGAAGGAAGAGAGAAGAAGGAAAGAAAGAGCUCGAGCUGUGUGGAGCUGCCCAUGGGAGGCUACAUAGAUAAGGCUCUGCACAUCCUUGGCAAAAAGAAAAACACAAAGAGAAAGGAUAAUAGAGCUGGUCCCAGAGGAGAAGUCAUCACUGUCCUUCAGAUCCACACCUUGGGUGACAAAGAUGGUAGAGUCUUCACUGCUGAUUUUUCCACAGAGCUCUUCUACCUGUGCUCAGAUCCUCAUCCACAGAGCUGCCGUUCCCACAGGUAAUGACCAUGGAGCACUUCUGGGAGUGAAGAUACAAAAUACUGGGGACUUCUGUGGAGACACAGCAGCCCUGUUACUGGGUGACGGACAGGUCCACAGACUUUACUGAAAAAUGUUCCUGUAGAGGGUUGUAAGCAGUUUGUUCAAUUUCACAAUAGAUCAAAGAUGUGAUUUUAGUGUGUCAAAUGCAAUGCAAUCCUCAGGCUGCCUGUAUUUUAAGUAUGACAUCUAGGGUGGGAUAUAUUAGUAUAUAUUAGUAUUUAUAUUUAGUUCAUAUUUUAGCGACAAAAUCCUACACAUUAGUGAAAACAAGCGAUAGAUUUUAUGGUCUUGUGCCAACACUGAGUUCUUGUUUUGCACAUAGGCUUUCCAGACUCUAUGAAAUUAAUAAAAACUGCUCAUGUUAAGCACUUCCACAGAUAUUCUGAAGCUACAGAUAUUUCUGUGAGAUAAAAUAUUAUGAAAACAGAACAGGUAUAGAGGGUGGACUUGCUUGUUAAAAUGUUAUGCAAGAUUAAGCUGUGAAAAUCCUUUCUGUGACCUUGCUUUAUGAAUAAAACACUGCUUGUUCCACUGGUGGGUGAAAUUAGAGAACACAGAAGAAAGGAAAAUGACAGCUAUCAGUUCUUAUGAAGUUAUGUCCCCAUUGCAAGCUCUGUGGGACAAAUUGUAAACUGUGUUAUCCAAAUGAAGACCAUUUCAAUUCUAAUCACCGCUAUUAAUAUGCAAAUUUUCUGAAUACAAAUAUUCCCACUACAGUAAAGCGCACAUUUACUUUGGAGAGUAACAGGCAUCCCAUUUUUUAAAACUCCUUUUUACCAUUAGUACCUCAAAGGCCCUACAUCACAGCUCUUAUGCUUACUGCUGGUUUUAAAAAUAGACUGAUUUCUCCCUGAGCAUGUCAAUGACACUGCUUCAGUCAGCAAGAUUUUGGAUGCCCAUUAGUGCUCUAUUUCCCUCCUUAGAGGUCUGUGGCCUCCCUGGUACCCUCUGUUCGAGGGUCCCCAUUAGGCACUGCGUUGUGCUACCACUAAACCACGUGUCUAGCUGGCUUAGGAUCAUUUUACUCUCCAUCACACGGAUUUCGUGUCGUUACAACAUAUAAGUGCUCUUAAUAUCUUCACCUUUCUAAAUAGCUAGGCUGGUUCAUCGUUCUGUGGGUUUGUUUACAGCCUGCUUCUUUGAUGGGAUUUGGGUAUUCUCAGGAGCCAAAUGAAAAGAAAGUGUGUUUAAAUGUCAUGGGCACCCCAGUGGCUGCCACAGUGCAGUGGAGGGAUGUAAGGAAAUGUAAUUAACCUUUACACCAUUUUAGGUGCAGCUCUGUUUAUGGUGAAUGGAGGUGAUGACAUAUUUGUGUUUUAAGUGAGAAUAUUGAACAGAUGUGUAACAACCUCAUUAUAUGAUAUUCUAAUAAUCCUGAAAUUGUUUUUAAAGGGACAGCUGCCUUACUUACUGUUGUGUCAUGCACAAAAUUGAGAAAAGCCACAGAGCAAUUUGCUGUUUUACUAUUUUACUAAAUACUACUUUAUGUGAAAACUUGUCACAAACCUAGAACCCCAAAACUUUCUCAAAAUACCCAAAUCUUCUACUUUCUCUGCUCUAUACCAACAAAAGUGAAUCAGAGAGAACUAAUCAAGGAUGCUACUUCUCAAUCUGUCAAUUUAAUGUUAAAAAAUAAUAUUUCAGACUGCACUCCUGUUUUAUUAGCAUUAGCUACAAUCUUGGAAAUGUCUUAGGGUUUCUAUGUCUGUGUCACCUAAGCAGUGUGCUUUGUUAAUAAAUUUAAAAGCACUCCAAGUAUGACAUUUUUAUUUUAGCUACAGUAAAAUUCUUCUGCAAAACCUGAGGGUUAAAGCUAGUUCACCUUCUGUCUAGAACUGUUCUUCAGCCCUCUCCUUUGUUAGGAAGGAAAAUGGUUAUAAAUAUCUGAAAGAUACAAGCCUGCAGGCUUGGGUAGAUUUUCUGAAUAUCAUUUCUUGAAGGCAUUAUAAAAUUAUGCUGCCUAAUGUAAUGUAGAUUAGUCAGCAAGGUAUUGUUUCAGUAAUGGUGCC